This 1768-nucleotide small RNA is filed under the name Pongo abelii (Sumatran orangutan). RNAcentral's name for it is "processed transcript". The record is from RNAcentral. Lineage: Eukaryota; Metazoa; Chordata; Mammalia; Primates; Hominidae.
CUUGCUAGAUGAUGAUGACCAAGUGGCGUUUUCUUUCAUUCUGGACAACAUUGUCACCCAGAAAAUGAUGGCAGUUCCAGAUUCUUGGCCAUUUCAUCACCCAGUUAAUAAGAAAUUUGUUCCAGAUUAUUACAAAGUGAUUGUCAAUCCAAUGGAUUUAGAGACCAUACGUAAGAACAUCUCCAAGCACAAGUAUCAGAGUCGGGAGAGCUUUCUAGAUGAUGUAAACCUUAUUCUGGCCAACAGUGUUAAGUAUAAUGGGUACAUGUGCACAAUGUGCAGGACCUGAGAGUCAGUAUACUAAGACUGCCCAGGAGAUUGUGAACGUCUGUUACCAGACAUUGACUGAGUAUGAUGAACAUUUGACUCAACUUGAGAAGGAUAUUUGUACAGCUAAAGAAGCAGCUUUGGAGGAAGCAGAAUUAGAAAGCCUGGACCCAAUGACCCCAGGGCCCUACACGCCUCAGGCCAAGCCUCCUGAUUUGUAUGAUACCAACACAUCCCUCAGUAUGUCUCGAGAUGCCUCUGUAUUUCAAGAUGAGAGCAAUAUGUCUGUCUUGGAUAUUCCCACUGCCACUCCAGAAAAGCAGGUAACACAGGAAGGUGAAGAUGGAGAUGGUGAUCUUGCAGAUGAAGAGGAAGGAACUGUACAACAGCCUCAAGCCAGUGUCCUGUAUGAGGAUUUGCUUAUGUCUGAAGGAGAAGAUGAUGAGGAAGAUGCUGGGAGUGAUGAAGAAGGAGACAAUCCUUUCUCUGCUAUCCAGCUGAGUGAAAGUGGAAGUGACUCUGAUGUAGGAUCUGGUGGAAUAAGACCCAAACAACCCCGCAUGCUUCAGGAGAACACAAGGAUGGACAUGGAAAAUGAAGAAAGCAUGAUGUCCUAUGAGGGAGACGGUGGGGAGGCUUCCCAUGGUUUGGAGGAUAGCAACAUCAGGUACCAAUGAACAAGCCAUUCAGAGAUGGAUCCACAAAGAUCUCUGGGGCAACGACCAGGUCCUGCUCUACCUGAUUCUCAGCUUUGGGGACAGAAUUCCCAGAAACAUCUGUGUCCGGAGUUGGUUCCUUCCAGUGGGUUCUUGGUCUUGCUGACUUCAAGAAUGAAGCCGUGGACCUUCACGCUUCAGGCCGAAGAUAGUGAAAAUCCGUGCCAGACUUGGAUUGGAAGAAUGAACCAAGGCUUUGAGUCUCAUCGUCUCAUCUCCGUUUUGAUACGCGUCUCCUUAAGUUUGUAAGCCAAGGAGAGGACUACAGUGAGGAUUGUGGAGGGAAGUGGACCUUAUUGGUCUUUGAGCUCUCACAUCUUUAAAGACUGUUGGUGCUGAGAGAAAAAGUAUCCUCAUCUGGCAGAACUCCCACAGGGUGUGCUCCCCUUGCUAUUCUGCUUUUGUUUUGCAGAAAGCUGCCUUUUUCAAUGUACUCAUUAGGCUUUCAUUGUUUGUUCCUUUUUUACCUUUUUCAUCUUUCACUGUUGAUAUCACAGGUGGCCAUAUCUUUACCAGUGCAGCUGCCAAAUAAGAAAUAAUCUUUUCCACAUUCACUAGCUAGUGAUGGUUGUUGUACUACCAUGAAAUCAGUUUCUUCUUUACUUUUAUUCAGGUUACAAGAUUUCUGGAAGGUUUUAAGAUCAAUUUUAAUUAGUCUUUGUGACUGGUUACUUCAUCCAGGGGACCAAUUUCUCUCUGGAAUAUUAGCCCCACACCCCUGGAGAGCCUGUGCGGCUGCAUCUCCCUCUGGAGGUGGUUCUGGAGUUGGUUCCUUUCGGUGGGUU